AUUGAACGCUGGCGGCAUGCCUUACACAUGCAAGUCGAACGGCAGCACGGGUGCUUGCCCCUGGUGGCGAGUGGCGAACGGGUGAGUAAUACAUCGGAACAUGUCCUGUAGUGGGGGAUAGCCCGGCGAAAGCCGGAUUAAUACCGCAUACGAUCUACGGAUGAAAGCGGGGGACCUUCGGGCCUCGCGCUAUCGGGUUGGCCGAUGGCUGAUUAGCUAGUUGGUGGGGUAAAGGCCUACCAAGGCGACGAUCAGUAGCUGGUCUGAGGGGACGACCAGCCACACUGGGACUGAGACACGGCCCAGACUCCUACGGGAGGCAGCAGUGGGGAAUUUUGGACAAUGGGCGAAAGCCUGAUCCAGCAAUGCCGCGUGUGUGAAGAAGGCCUUCGGGUUGUAAAGCACUUUUGUCCGGAAAGAAAUCCUUGGCCCUAAUACGGUCGGGGGAUGACGGUACCGGAAGAAUAAGCACCGGCUAACUACGUG
This 486-nucleotide ribosomal RNA is filed under the name uncultured bacterium. RNAcentral describes it as "partial 16S ribosomal RNA". It matches the Rfam family "Bacterial small subunit ribosomal RNA", at positions 30 to 507 of the family's 1533-position model. The record is from RNAcentral.